RNAcentral lists this ribosomal RNA (253 nucleotides) under uncultured bacterium. RNAcentral's name for it is "partial 16S ribosomal RNA". It matches the Rfam family "Bacterial small subunit ribosomal RNA", at positions 524 to 776 of the family's 1533-position model. The record is from RNAcentral.
GACAUAGGUGGCGAACGUUAUCCGGAUUUAUUGGGCGUAAAGGAUGUGUAGGCGGUAAAAUAAGUUAUUGGUCAAUGUCAAGCUCAACUUGACUGAAGCUAGUAAAACUGUUUUGCUAGAGGAUGGAAGAGGUUGAUGGAAGUCUGCGAGGAGGGGUGAAAUCCAUUGAUCCGCAGGGUACCACCAAAAAGGCGAAGGCAAUUAACUAUUUCAUUUCUGACGCUGAGACAUGAAAGCGUGGGGAGCAAACCGG